CAAUAGCGUAUAUUAAAGUUGUUGCAGUUAAAAAGCUCGUAGUUGGACCUUGGACCUGGACAGGCGGUCCGCCUCACGGCGAGUACUGUCUUGCUGGGUCUUUCCUCUUGGUGAUCUGUUGUUUCGGCAGCAGGGAACCAGGACCUUUACUUUGAAAAAAUUAGAGUGUUCAAAGCAGGCUCGACGCCGGAAUAUAUUAGCAUGGAAUAAUAAAAUAGGACGUGCGGUUCUAUUUUGUUGGCUUUUGGAAUCGCCGUAAUGAUUAAUAGGGACAGUCGGGGGCAUUAGUACUCACAUGCUAGAGGUGAAAUUCUUGGAUUUUGUGAAGACUAACUUCUGCGAAAGCAUUUGACAAGGAUGUUUUCAUUA
This 369-nucleotide ribosomal RNA is filed under the name uncultured eukaryote. Its description in RNAcentral is "partial 18S ribosomal RNA". It matches the Rfam family "Eukaryotic small subunit ribosomal RNA", at positions 592 to 975 of the family's 1831-position model. The record is from RNAcentral.